RNAcentral lists this ribosomal RNA (533 nucleotides) under Pseudoalteromonas sp. Its description in RNAcentral is "bacterial SSU rRNA". It matches the Rfam family "Bacterial small subunit ribosomal RNA", at positions 378 to 904 of the family's 1533-position model. Lineage: Bacteria; Pseudomonadati; Pseudomonadota; Gammaproteobacteria; Alteromonadales; Pseudoalteromonadaceae. The record is from RNAcentral.
GCAGCCUGAUGCAGCCAUGCCGCGUGUGUGAAGAAGGCCUUCGGGUUGUAAAGCACUUUCAGUCAGGAGGAAAGGUUAGUAGUUAAUACCUGCUAGCUGUGACGUUACUGACAGAAGAAGCACCGGCUAACUCCGUGCCAGCAGCCGCGGUAAUACGGAGGGUGCGAGCGUUAAUCGGAAUUACUGGGCGUAAAGCGUACGCAGGCGGUUUGUUAAGCGAGAUGUGAAAGCCCCGGGCUCAACCUGGGAACUGCAUUUCGAACUGGCAAACUAGAGUGUGAUAGAGGGUGGUAGAAUUUCAGGUGUAGCGGUGAAAUGCGUAGAGAUCUGAAGGAAUACCGAUGGCGAAGGCAGCCACCUGGGUCAACACUGACGCUCAUGUACGAAAGCGUGGGGAGCAAACAGGAUUAGAUACCCUGGUAGUCCACGCCGUAAACGAUGUCUACUAGAAGCUCGGAGCCUCGGCUCUGUUUUUCAAAGCUAACGCAUUAAGUAGACCGCCUGGGGAGUACGGCCGCAAGGUUAAAACUCAA